RNAcentral lists this ribosomal RNA (469 nucleotides) under uncultured bacterium. RNAcentral's name for it is "partial 16S ribosomal RNA". It matches the Rfam family "Bacterial small subunit ribosomal RNA", at positions 28 to 507 of the family's 1533-position model. The record is from RNAcentral.
GAUGAACGCUGGCGGCGUGCUUAACACAUGCAAGUCGAACGGUGAACACGGAGCUUGCUCUGUGGGAUCAGUGGCGAACGGGUGAGUAACACGUGAGCAACCUGCCCCUGACUCUGGGAUAAGCGCUGGAAACGGCGUCUAAUACUGGAUAUGUGACGUGACCGCAUGGUCUGCGUUUGGAAAGAUUUUUCGGUUGGGGAUGGGCUCGCGGCCUAUCAGCUUGUUGGUGAGGUAAUGGCUCACCAAGGCGUCGACGGGUAGCCGGCCUGAGAGGGUGACCGGCCACACUGGGACUGAGACACGGCCCAGACUCCUACGGGAGGCAGCAGUGGGGAAUAUUGCACAAUGGGCGCAAGCCUGAUGCAGCAACGCCGCGUGCGGGAUGACGGCCUUCGGGUUGUAAACCUCUUUUAGCAGGGAAGAAGCGAAAGUGACGGUACCUGCAGAAAAAGCGCCGGCUAACUACGUG